Molecule: long non-coding RNA, 2406 nt
Organism: Bubalus bubalis (water buffalo)
Lineage: Eukaryota; Metazoa; Chordata; Mammalia; Artiodactyla; Bovidae
Exons: 3
Source: RefSeq, a predicted model, not a curated record
UUCUUGACCAGACUACAGUUCACGGAGUCACAAAGAGUUGGACAUGACUUAGCGACCAAACAAUAACAGCUCCUUGAACACCUUCUCUCAGACCUCAAGGCCCACAAACAGGUGCUGCUGUUUCCACCACAGGGCAGAGUUCCUUCAUGACUUGGGCAAACCCAGCAGGGACACCGGUCAUGAGGCUCUGUCUCAGACUGUCCCACAUGACAGGCCCCCGGCGCUGAGCCUGGGGACAGGAAGCAGCUGGUCCACAGCAGGCAUGAGACCAGCUGUGGGUGAGGGGAAGGAGGCAGAAACCGGGCCAGAGAAGGGGAACCAAAGGUUGGAGGUGCAAGGUGAAACUAAAUGGAAAAGGAGUAAAGACACUGGAAAGUGAGUCGAUUAGAAACAGACAGAGGAGCGCAGGCUUGAGUGUAUCAGGUGAAGGCCUGUGGGCGAGCCCAUCUGCUGGGUGGGGGGCUUGCAGGACUAAUACAGCAUGGGCAGGGCGGGGGUACACUGGUCUGGGAACUGGGCGAGGUAUCCAUUGCUCACAGUGCAGGGUGCCAAGUUAAUGACUGAUAAACCCUAGGACCUGCAACCCAGAAUCAUGUAAACCAUGAGCCAGAGGAAACAGAAGUCAGAUCAUGGGAUUAAUGAUAGUUAAAACUGACUGAACAUUAACCCCAAGCCAGGCACAUUGAUAAGUGCUCUAUGUAAAUCAUUUAACCCCCUGAGAAUUAUUUAACCCCCUGUAAAUUAUUUACAGAGUACCCCCCACCCCAAGACUCCAUGUGGUGAAGAGCACGGGGUGAAUAGAAAUGUGAACUCCGAGACCAGAGACAAAGAAACUGAAGCACAGAGAUCUAAGUAACGUUGAAGUGAUGGGCCAGGGAAGUAAAGCCAGCCAAUGUUCCUACGGACGCGGUGUGUGUAACCAUUAUGCCUUGCUGCCUCACAUCAAGUCAGAGGAACAAGGUGAAGAGAGGGAGCCAAGGUGAGAGGCCCAGGAGAAGGCAGAACAGAGAAAGGACUCCUGGAGAGAGCUCUGAGCAGAUCCCAGGGUUGUUGGCAGGGGCUGAGGGUGGGAGAUGAGACAAGUGUGCUCUAAGAGCUGGGCACAGCCAGGACACACUGGAGACUGAACUUCUACAUGGUUCUGGCAGCCGAGAUUCAAUCCUCCUGUUGAAACGAGUUUUCUAGAUGGGACAUGUGGCCUACAUCCAAAAACCCCGGGGCUUUGCUGCCAAGUCAUCACUCUGGCAAGAACCACACCUGACUUUGCAGACCUGAAAAGUGACAACAGGAAAUCGUUAGUCCUGAACUUCCGUGGGGCCAGGUUGCAGAGGAGAGCAACAGUAACAGCUAAGACAUACUGGUAACAGCUAAGAUAUACUGAGUGAUGACUACAUGCAAGGUACCGUUUGAUGCACCGAGUGCUGUAACUGAGUCUUCACCACAACCCAAAGAAGUCCCAAUAGUAUCCCCAUCUUGUAGAUGACAACACAGAGAGGUCAAGUAACAUUCCUGAGGUGACACAGCAGGUGACGAUACUGAGGUUCAGAAAGAUGGAACAACUUGUGCAAGAUCACACAGCAAGUAAGAUGUGGAGUCAAGCUUCCAAUUCAAUCCCAUGUACCUCCAAAGCCUGUGGUCGACUGCUACGUAUUGAACCACCCAUUGCUUGAUGGACCUUUAUUUGCUAUUUAUUCACGCUGGGUGUUCCAUCCUGGUCUGUCAACCUCUCUACAUUUUCACUCCCACAGAGCUCCUGUUAAACUGAUGUCUUCCUGAUCUUUGUGUGUUUGAUUCACCAGCAUUUCACUGUGAUUCUUCAAGAGGGAGGAAGAGAGGCAACCAGACCAGUUACAUCGUGAUUUAGCUAAUCUUUGGCAGAAUCACGAAUCCAGUCCUCAAGAUGAAAAUUCUAUUUCCAGGAGAACAAAUCCUAAGUUUAAAAUUGUUUACCGAAAAAGUAAAAGAUGAUUUAGAUCAUGCUUCAAACAUUUAUGGUAUUACUAUUUCUCAGCUCUCCAGGAAUAAGAAGAACUUAAGUGCUUCUUUGGAAUCUGAUUCCAAAGUCUGGUUCUGCUUUCCUCACCCAAACACAACAAAAGUUAAAAUCCAACAGACAACCAUCUAAGGAAACUGUUAAACAUAUAUGAAAAAAUGUAUAUAAAAAGAUGUGCAUGAUCACGUGGUUUGUGACAGUGACGUGUAAGAAUUAAUGUUCAACAAUAAGUGAUUAAGUCAAUAGUACAGUAUAAGUAUGAUUUGAAAACUUGCAAAGUGACGAGUCAUUAAAGUUAUGUUGAUGAAGAAUAUAGUGGGGAAAAAACAAAGCUGUCACAGUGCUCAGUGAAAGAUGCAGACUUUAAAGUGUUGAUUAAAAAAAACAAUAGAUUAAAAAGACAUAAACUAAAA